This is a non-coding RNA of Schizosaccharomyces pombe (fission yeast), 3107 nucleotides long. NCBI's taxonomy places the organism in Eukaryota, Fungi, Ascomycota, Schizosaccharomycetes, Schizosaccharomycetales, Schizosaccharomycetaceae. The record is from the annotation of a GenBank genome assembly.
CUAGGUUUUUCUCACUGAUUCCAAUAUCAAACUUUUCAUCGCUUUUUGGGUCUUCCAUUUUCAAACUUGGAGUACUUGGCUUAGAGCUUUGAGUUUUGAAAAGGGAACGACAAUUAAUAUACAAAUCAGUGAGAAAACCUUUCAGUUUUAUGGUAUCGGAUUUCGUUGUAUGUUGCACUUUGAUAACCCUGAAAGGCUGUGGCAGCCAAAAAACGGAGAAAACCUGGAAAUUCCGCGGUUACUAUAACUCGCAGGAAUAAAGAAGAGAGAUAAACUUUUUUCUACAAAGUCGAUUCCAAAAACAAACUAAUUGGACACAAUUAAAUCUGAGCUGUUUGUUUUUGCCAAAUCGUUCUUUGUACUCGACAGAAAUUUUAAAAAUAUCAAAACAAAAGAUUGUUACUAUCAAUGAUGCUUUUGUAAAGAAAAAAUUUUCAGAGGUAAAGGUCUUUUUCCCCACUUGUUUUACAAGUUGGUUAUUUUGAAGAAAAGUUGUACCAUAAACGAUUAUUAUAUGUGCAAAUUUGAGGUAUAUCGGGUCUAAAAUUUUACAUAAGAUGUUUUGUUCAUGUACUAAAAUUUUGUCAUGAAAAAUUUCGACACAUGUGUGACUUCGCCGAUGUGUGGGACCGGCGUCCCCCAAAUUGAAAAGAUAAGGAUCGUAGACCUCACAUUCAUUAAAGCAUCUGAGUAUAAAUCGCUUAAGAGGUGAGCUGGUGCCACACACUAUCUAUUAAAGACUUAACUGUGACUAGUAGAGAUAGACUCUAGAGUAUUUUAGUUGCAUGACUGCUUUACAGAGUUCGCUAUUUAAUAUUCUGCAGCAUUUUAUAUAUCUAAGAAAGCUAAUUUUAUCAACUGAAUGUGUUCGUAAUAGAGAAGUUUACCUAAGCUAAUAAAAAUUCUAGAAGCCAUUCUGAAUAAGUAUAUUCAGUUCGUUAUUUCUGAUUUGCUCUUCGGUUGUCCCAUAUUAAUUUCACCUCUUUGCCUUCUAUCGUUUAGUACACCCGUUUUACCACACUACAAAAUGUUAUCGACACAUACUGAUGUGUGAGUAUCUUGGCGCAUAAAAAGAGAUAACGCAUUCGAACAAUUUUCGUUUACUGGUAUUUCUGGGUAAUCGGUAUGCAAUUGAAAUUUACAUAAUGAAGAUAAAGUAAUGUACUAUCUGUAUAAUAAUUUGGAAUUAAUUGCUUACACGUAUGUGAUUUGUACAUGAACUUUUGCUUUCAUAAUGAUUGACUAUCGUAUGCAGUUCGCCUUACUCGACUUUUAUUUCUUCAAUUUGUGCACCAUUGUUUAAACAAACGAAACAAAUAAUAAAUAGCGAGAAGUAAGGACAUUACUGCAACUGCUAUUAAUUUAGUUUUCUCGCCAAGUAUAUUGGCGAAAUACUCUAAAACAUGUAAGUACAAUUCACAAUAGAAAUCGGGAGUCAAUUAACAUUUGUAAAGUAGACGCACAUUGAAGAAGGAAAAUGUGAUUGAUCAAAUCGUGAGCAUUAAAACUUGAUCAAGUAGAUAACUAAUGGAGAAUUCUGCAUUGCUGAUAGAUGCUUAUCUUUAAUAACCGCGUAACCGUUUUCUUUUAAAAUCGUUUCAAUCUUCUUAGUGUUGGAAAAAUUUUCAAAUGCCCUUAUCCUACGAUUCAUUUUCUUGAAACCUUUAAAAAAUUAAGUAUCAUGUUAUUAAUACACUGUCGGUAUAAACAUUGAGCACAAGAAGCAGCUUGCCCUUAAGGAUAUGUCUAUAUCCAGACUUGAAAGUAUGUUUAGAAUGCUGCACACAUCAAGCUGAAACUCAUAUGGGCGCUCCCAAUGUCCACUUUGAGCAAAUCUCUCUAAGAAAGGGGUUUCAAAACAUAAAGGGGCUAGCUGGUUGUAGUGUUGAUCAAAGCUAUGAAAAGUUUAAGCCUAAAUAGCGAAUGUACCAAGUGUCAUAUCAAUUAUUAUUUCAACGAAUUCUUUUCAAAUAAGCAUAAGCUUUUCGUCAGUAUUUCUUACCUUAACAUACGAAAUGAGAAACUGAAUUAAAAUACAGGCCAAAAAGUUGUGAAAAUAAAAGCCGACGAAUAAAGAUGAUAACUAACUGACUUUGGAAUAUACAAAGAACUUCAGCAAGUGGAAUUUUGGGCAAACAAAAAAAUACUUGUCAUCGAUUAUUGCACACAAACAUAUGAAAUUUGAAUUUACAGUUGCAUGUAAUUACUUAAAUCUUGGUAUUGCAUUUUUUUUUUAAAAACUGAAAGAAGAAAUGGUGAAAGCAUCAAUUACCAAGUAGUUUUCAAGUGUUUAUUUUUAGCCCACUGAAAUAAUUGCAACAAAAUGUAUAGAAGUUGGACAUUCCCAUCGCAAGUAAAUCCACAGUCAAAUUGGCUGCAAGUUAUAAUGGUGUUUCUAAUUUUAAAAGUUUCAACCAAGCUGGUUCUUCCCCGUGUUUGAGUUGAUAGAACCAAUGUUUACGCUGCUUUUAUCAGUAACCUUGGGAUGUCCGAGGCCAGAACAUAUUCAAAAAUACGCAAAGCGACCAGCAAAUGCCUCAUUUGAAAGCUGGAGACACAUCCGCGCUAGUCUCGCUAAAUGAAUCAGAAACACACAAUCGGGGCAGAUGGCCGCUUCACCUCGGAAGCUAAAUGCAUUCUUAUCAGAAAAUAAAGGAUGGAAAUAACAAUCAAUAAUUGCAAGUUGAUGAGAAUGUAUAAGCUAUAUACUCGUAAGAUAAGGGGGGGGAACAAGCGAGGGCCGAUUGUAAGCAGCGGAAACAAGCGUUAGCAGAUAUCUCGGAAGCAUAAGUAAUGAAAAGAUACUUUAUAAAUACUGACUGAUGCUAGCUGGUGACAUUAAAAAAAAACCGACUACAGCAAUGGGCCAAAAGCAAUGCAAGAAGAGCGAUUGAUCUAGUUGCUAAAAUUAUAUAAUAUGCAAUUCAUGCUUCUUUGUGUUUUAUGUUGCGAAGUUUUCAUAUAUUGUGUGGAAUCUUCUCAUAUUAAUGUCUAAUAUAAAGCCUGACACCUCAACCCUCAAAUCAAAGACAUGCAACAUUUAUUUACAACAUCCACGGGUGCUAAAGAAAAAUAUCAUGAAAUCCUAAUUUAUACAGACAAAAAUA